CAGCCGCCGCGGGAAUACGUAGGGUGCAAGCGUUAAUCGGAAUUACUGGGCGUAAAGCGUGCGCAGGCGGUUCGCUAAGACAGAUGUGAAAUCCCCGGGCUUAACCUGGGAACUGCAUUUGUGACUGGCGGGCUAGAGUAUGGCAGAGGGGGGUAGAAUUCCACGUGUAGCAGUGAAAUGCGUAGAGAUGUGGAGGAAUACCGAUGGCGAAGGCAGCCCCCUGGGCCAAUACUGACGCUCAUGCACGAAAGCGUGGGGAGCAAACAGGAUUAGAUACCCCAGUAGUCCCUGUCUCUUAUAA
Molecule: ribosomal RNA, 301 nt
Filed under: uncultured bacterium
Lineage: Bacteria
Description: partial 16S ribosomal RNA
Rfam family: Bacterial small subunit ribosomal RNA
Source: RNAcentral